Long non-coding RNA from Episyrphus balteatus (marmalade hoverfly), 725 nucleotides. RefSeq lists it as uncharacterized. The record is from RefSeq and is a predicted model, not a curated record. NCBI's taxonomy places the organism in Eukaryota, Metazoa, Arthropoda, Insecta, Diptera, Syrphidae. The transcript is spliced from 2 exons.
ACAUCUUAAAAUAUCUCACUGAACACAUCUCAAAAUAUCCCACACUGAACACAUCUCAAAAUAUCCCACUAGACUGGAAGUAUGAAGUGCCCUUCCUGGAAAGGAAGUUUCGAGAGACAGGGACGAGAGCCUUCGAGGACGUUCUCGAGUCUCGAGAUUCCGGUAUAAAAGGCAGCGUAGACACCGACCGGAUACAGUUUAAUCUUGAAAGUGAAAGAGUACAGUACAAAGUGAAAUAAAGUGUUGCGAAUUGUUACCCUUCAAGCAAGAAAACUGAGUUCAACAAAGAAACUCCGACCUCAGACCGCGAAAAUCGGGGUUGCACUCACACACUUACAUCUUUUUGUGUAUGAACACAAAAGUCGAACGAGAAUCGUGGUGAAAAAUGAGAAAAGGAAAAGAAAGACAAGGCCAACAAGAGCCAAAGCGUCAUUAUGUUAUUUUUUGUUGAAGUGUUUGGUCGCGUCGUGUCUCGUGUCGUUGUUUGUAUAAUGUUAGAUUAUUAACUAUAAACAAUUAUAUUAAAUUAUAAACAAUAUGGAAAACAAAAAAGAUGUAAUCUCUAAGAAAAAUCCAGAAGGUGAAACAUGCGAUUGGGUAUCUAAAAAAAAAACACCAACAACAGCAGCAGCAUCAAAUGAAAUAAAAUGAAAAAAAUAUAUUGUAUUUUAUAUUGUAUUUAUUGUGAAAAUUUCGUUUGCCAAAAUAAAAUAAAAAAUAAAACA